Molecule: ribosomal RNA, 404 nt
Filed under: Fusobacteriota bacterium
Lineage: Bacteria; Fusobacteriati; Fusobacteriota
Description: Fusobacteria bacterium partial 16S ribosomal RNA
Rfam family: Bacterial small subunit ribosomal RNA
Source: RNAcentral
UGGGGAAUAUUGCACAAUGGAGGGAACUCUGAUGCAGCGACGCCGCGUGAGUGAUGAAGGAAUUCGUUUCGUAAAACUCUGUUCUAUGGGAAGAAAAGGACUGUACCAUAGGAGAAAGCUCCGACUAAAUACGUGCCAGCAGCCGCGGUAAUACGUAUGGAGCGAGCGUUGUCCGGAAUUAUUGGGCGUAAAGGGUGCGCAGGCGGCUUUACAAGUUGGAUGUGAAAUAUUGUGGCUCAACCACAAACGUGCAUCCAAAACUGCAAAGCUUGAGUUAAGGAGAGGUAAGUGGAAUUCCUGGUGUAGCGGUGGAAUGCGUAGAUAUCAGGAGGAAUACCGGUGGCGAAGGCGACUUACUGGACUUAAACUGACGCUCAGGCACGAAAGCGUGGGGAGCAAACAGG